RNAcentral lists this ribosomal RNA (478 nucleotides) under uncultured bacterium. Its description in RNAcentral is "partial 16S ribosomal RNA". It matches the Rfam family "Bacterial small subunit ribosomal RNA", at positions 28 to 523 of the family's 1533-position model. The record is from RNAcentral.
GACGAACGCUGGCGGCGUGCUUAACACAUGCAAGUCGAACGGUAAGGCCCUUCGGGGUACACGAGUGGCGAACGGGUGAGUAACACGUGGGUGAUCUGCCCUGCACUUCGGGAUAAGCCUGGGAAACUGGGUCUAAUACCGGAUAGGACCCUGGGAUGCAUGUCCUGGGGUGGAAAGCUUUUGCGGUGUGGGAUGGGCCCGCGGCCUAUCAGCUUGUUGGUGGGGUGAUGGCCUACCAAGGCGACGACGGGUAGCCGGCCUGAGAGGGUGACCGGCCACACUGGGACUGAGAUACGGCCCAGACUCCUACGGGAGGCAGCAGUGGGGAAUAUUGCACAAUGGGCGCAAGCCUGAUGCAGCGACGCCGCGUGAGGGAUGACGGCCUUCGGGUUGCAAACCUCUUUCAGCACCGACGAAGCGCAAGUGACGGUAGGUGCAGAAGAAGGACCGGCCAACUACGUGCCAGCAGCCGCAGUAA